Molecule: transfer RNA, 78 nt
Filed under: Caudoviricetes sp.
Lineage: Duplodnaviria; Heunggongvirae; Uroviricota; Caudoviricetes
Description: tRNA-Ser
Rfam family: tRNA
About the family: Transfer RNA (tRNA) molecules are approximately 80 nucleotides in length. Their secondary structure includes four short double-helical elements and three loops (D, anti-codon, and T loops).
Source: RNAcentral
GAAUUUAUGCAGUGAAACAGGACUUUGAUUGUUUGACUUUUAAUCAAGUUGUCCGGGGUUCGAAUCCCCGAUGCUUCA